RNAcentral lists this transfer RNA (65 nucleotides) under Cavia porcellus (domestic guinea pig). It matches the Rfam family "tRNA". From Rfam's summary of the family: Transfer RNA (tRNA) molecules are approximately 80 nucleotides in length. Lineage: Eukaryota; Metazoa; Chordata; Mammalia; Rodentia; Caviidae. The record is from Rfam by way of RNAcentral.
GGUGUAGCUCAGUGGUACAGUGCUUGCCUAGCAUGCAUGAGGCCCUAGGUUCAACCCCCAGUACC